GACGAACGCUGGCGGCGUGCUUAACACAUGCAAGUCGAACGGUAAGGCCCUUUCGGGGGUACACGAGUGGCGAACGGGUGAGUAACACGUGGGUGAUCUGCCCUGCACUUUGGGAUAAGCCUGGGAAACUGGGUCUAAUACCGGAUAGGACUACGCGAUGCAUGUCGUGUGGUGGAAAGCUCUUGCGGUGUGGGAUGGGCCCGCGGCCUAUCAGCUUGUUGGUGGGGUGAUGGCCUACCAAGGCGACGACGGGUAGCCGGCCUGAGAGGGUGUCCGGCCACACUGGGACUGAGAUACGGCCCAGACUCCUACGGGAGGCAGCAGUGGGGAAUAUUGCACAAUGGGCGCAAGCCUGAUGCAGCGACGCCGCGUGGGGGAUGACGGCCUUCGGGUUGUAAACCCCUUUCAGCACAGACGAAGCGUAAGUGACGGUAUGUGCAGAAGAAGCACCGGCCAACUACGUG
Molecule: ribosomal RNA, 464 nt
Filed under: uncultured bacterium
Lineage: Bacteria
Description: partial 16S ribosomal RNA
Rfam family: Bacterial small subunit ribosomal RNA
Source: RNAcentral